GUACGCGAGCUGGGUUUAGAACGUCGUGAGACAGUUCGGUCCCUAUCUGCCGUGGGCGCUGGAGAAUUGAGGGGGGCUGCUCCUAGUACGAGAGGACCGGAGUGGACGCAUCACUGGUGUUCGGGUUGUCAUGCCAAUGGCACUGCCCGGUAGCUAAAUGCGGAAGAGAUAAGUGCUGAAAGCAUCUAAGCACGAAACUUGCCCCGAGAUGAGUUCUCCCUGAGACUUUAAGUCUCCUGAAGGAACGUUNAAGACGANGACGUUGAUAGGCCGGGUGUGUAAGCGCAGCGAUGCGUUGAGCUAACCGGUACUAAUGAACCGUGAGGCUUAACCUUACAACGCCGAAG
RNAcentral lists this ribosomal RNA (347 nucleotides) under Klebsiella pneumoniae. RNAcentral describes it as "partial 23S ribosomal RNA". It matches the Rfam family "Bacterial large subunit ribosomal RNA", at positions 2596 to 2925 of the family's 2925-position model. The record is from RNAcentral. Lineage: Bacteria; Pseudomonadati; Pseudomonadota; Gammaproteobacteria; Enterobacterales; Enterobacteriaceae.